UACGAAGGGAGCUAGCGUUGCUCGGAAUGACUGGGCGUAAAGGGCGCGUAGGCGGAUGUUUUAGUCAGGCGUGAAAGUCCUGGGCUCAACCUGGGGAUUGCGUUUGAUACGGGGUAUCUAGAGUUGGGAAGAGGGUCGUGGAAUUCCCAGUGUAGAGGUGAAAUUCGUAGAUAUUGGGAAGAACACCGGUGGCGAAGGCGGCGACCUGGUCCUUGACUGACGCUGAGGCGCGAAAGCGUGGGGAGCAAACAG
Molecule: ribosomal RNA, 252 nt
Filed under: uncultured bacterium
Lineage: Bacteria
Description: partial 16S ribosomal RNA
Rfam family: Bacterial small subunit ribosomal RNA
Source: RNAcentral